UAGGGAAUCUUCGGCAAUGGGGGGAACCCUGACCGAGCAACGCCGCGUGAGUGAAGAAGGUUUUCGGAUCGUAAAGCUCUGUUGUUAAGGAAGAACGAGUGUGAGAAUGGAAAGUUCAUACUGUGACGGUACUUAACCAGAAAGCCACGGCUAACUACGUGCCAGCAGCCGCGGUAAUACGUAGGUGGCAAGCGUUGUCCGGAUUUAUUGGGCGUAAAGCGAGCGCAGGCGGUCAAUUAAGUCUGAUGUGAAAGCCCCCGGCUCAACCGGGGAGGGUCAUUGGAAACUGGUUGACUUGAGUGCAGAAGAGGAGGGUGGAAUUCCGUGUGUAGCGGUGAAAUGCGUAGAUAUGUGGAGAAACACCAGUGGCGAAGGCGACUCUCUGGUCUGUAACUGACGCAGAGGCUCGAAAGCGUGGGUAGCAAACAGG
This 430-nucleotide ribosomal RNA is filed under the name Bacteroidota bacterium. RNAcentral describes it as "Bacteroidetes bacterium partial 16S ribosomal RNA". It matches the Rfam family "Bacterial small subunit ribosomal RNA", at positions 355 to 776 of the family's 1533-position model. Lineage: Bacteria; Pseudomonadati; Bacteroidota. The record is from RNAcentral.